GGUUUAAUUCGAUGAUACGCGAGGAACCUUACCCGGGCUUGAAUUGCAGAGGAAGAAUUUGGAGACAAUGACGCCCUUCGGGGUCUCUGUGAAGGUGCUGCAUGGUUGUCGUCAGCUCGUGCCGUGAGGUGUCGGCUUAAGUGCCAUAACGAGCGCAACCCCUCUCCUUAGUUGCCAUCAGGUCAUGCUGGGCACUCUGGGGACACUGCCACCGUAAGGUGUGA
Molecule: ribosomal RNA, 224 nt
Filed under: uncultured bacterium
Lineage: Bacteria
Description: partial 16S ribosomal RNA
Rfam family: Bacterial small subunit ribosomal RNA
Source: RNAcentral